This 467-nucleotide ribosomal RNA is filed under the name uncultured bacterium. RNAcentral's name for it is "partial 16S ribosomal RNA". It matches the Rfam family "Bacterial small subunit ribosomal RNA", at positions 28 to 507 of the family's 1533-position model. The record is from RNAcentral.
GACGAACGCUGGCGGCGUGCUUAACACAUGCAAGUCGAACGGAAAGGCCUCUUUCGGGGGGUACUCGAGUGGCGAACGGGUGAGUAACACGUGAGUAACCUGCCCUUUACUUUGGGAUAACUUCAGGAAACUGUGGCUAAUACCCGAUAUGAGCUCCUCCUGCAUGGUGGGGGGUGGAGAGUUUCGGCGGUUGGGGAUGGACUCUCGGCUUAUCAGCUUGUUUGUGGGGUAGUGGCUUACCAAGGCUUUGACGGGUAGCCGGCCUGGGAGGGUGAACGGCCACAUUGGGACUGAGAUACGGCCCAGACUCCUACGGGAGGCAGCAGUGGGGAAUAUUGCACAAUGGGUGGAAGCCUGAUGCAGCAAAGGCGUGUGCGGGAUGACGGCCUUCGGGUUGUAAACCGCUUUCGCUCAUGACGAAGCUUUGUGUGACGGUAGUGGGUAAAGAAGCACCGGCUAACUACGUG